Molecule: ribosomal RNA, 253 nt
Filed under: uncultured bacterium
Lineage: Bacteria
Description: partial 16S ribosomal RNA
Rfam family: Bacterial small subunit ribosomal RNA
Source: RNAcentral
UACAGAGGUCUCAAGCGUUGUUCGGAUUCAUUGGGCGUAAAGGGUGCGUAGGCGGUUUGACAAGUCUGAUGUGAAAUCUAUGGGCUCAACCCAUAGUCUGCAUUAGAAACUGUCGGGCUUGAGUAUGGGAGAGGUGAGUGGAAUUUCCGGUGUAGCGGUGAAAUGCGUAGAUAUCGGAAGGAACACCUGUGGCGAAAGCGGCUCACUGGACCAUUACUGACGCUGAUGCACGAAAGCUAGGGGAGCAAACAGG